Molecule: ribosomal RNA, 235 nt
Filed under: uncultured bacterium
Lineage: Bacteria
Description: partial 16S ribosomal RNA
Rfam family: Bacterial small subunit ribosomal RNA
Source: RNAcentral
GAUCAUGGCUCAGGAUGAACGCUAGCUGCAGGCUUAACACAUGCAAGUCGAGGGGAAACGAUAUUGGAAGCUUGCUUCCGAUAGGCGUCGACCGGCGCACGGGUGAGUAACGCGUAUCCAACCUGCCCACCACUUGGGGGAUAACCUUGCGAAAGUAAGACUAAUACCCAAUGAUAUCUCUAGAAGACAUCUGAAAAGAGAUUUAAAGAUUUAUCGGUGAUGGAUGGGGAUGCGU